This is a long non-coding RNA of Chinchilla lanigera (long-tailed chinchilla), 663 nucleotides long. RefSeq lists it as uncharacterized. The record is from RefSeq and is a predicted model, not a curated record. The transcript has 3 exons. Lineage: Eukaryota; Metazoa; Chordata; Mammalia; Rodentia; Chinchillidae.
CACUCGGCUGGGCGUGGGACAUAAGCGGCUGAUGUGUCAUCCCGCACCCUGGAAAGACAGGCUGGUGCUUAGCAGCCACUGUUUGACAGUCUGCGUUCUCCCGCACCACGCCUGGCCUGGACCUGAGUUUUCUGCUGCCACUUCUGUCUUCCAGCUUUGUUUUUUGGGCCUGACUUCAGCUGCUUCUCCAAGCUCCUGACAACUCUGAGGCUGCAGCUGAGCCACUUCCUGGACUGACUCCAAGGCCUGGAAAGGAGGAGAAAGUUCCGGCAGGCCCAACCCUGAGCAUACAGAAGUGUUUCCUCUACUUCAGUGAUUCCAGGGUUUGAAGACUGCCAAUAAUCCUGCCUCCGUUUGCACAUGCCGAGGCUUCUCUGGGAUGUAAACCCAAGAACUCUUGUGUUACUGGCCAGGUUCAGCUCCGGUUAGGCAUCGCCAAAGUGUUCUUCAGAGUGGUACUCAUUUUUACUCCAACAGCUUGGCUUUCUUGGGGAAUGAGCUGCUUUCAUCUCAUUUUAGUACUUUAGCAAAUUUAGUAAAAUUUUAGUACUUUAGCACUGGGACAGUGACUUCACUUAAUAAAAUGUUCCAAGGUAGGCAAAGCAACCUUAUGAAUCAUUCUGUCACUUUUUUUUUUUUUUGUCUUUUUGCGACAGGGUCUCG